RNAcentral lists this ribosomal RNA (809 nucleotides) under Puiggariella nemathora. RNAcentral's name for it is "SSU rRNA". It matches the Rfam family "Bacterial small subunit ribosomal RNA", at positions 395 to 1180 of the family's 1533-position model. Lineage: Eukaryota; Fungi; Ascomycota; Dothideomycetes; Strigulales; Strigulaceae. The record is from RNAcentral.
UUAUAAAUAUAAAAUAUAAUAUUAAUAUUAGAAUGUUAUAUUUUUAAAAUAUACAAUUCGGGAUAAAAUUAUGAUAAUGACGUGUUUUAUUUUUGUGUCUUGACUAAAUCUUGUGCCAGCAGUCGCGGUAAGACAAGAAAGACUAGUGUUAUUCAUCUUUAUUAGGUUUAAAGGGUACUUAGACGGUUCAUCUGACUUGUAAAAAGAAUAGAUGUUACUAGAGUUUAAUUAUGAGGGAGAUGAAUUACUGAAUGAGUGAUAAAAUAUUUUGAUAUCAGUAGGACUGGUAACGGCGAAAGCAUCUUUUUAUGUAAAAGUAACUAUUAUAAAUAAUGGCUUUUUAUUUAAGUAAAAUAGUUUUUUAUAUAACUUAUUUUAGUUAUAUAAAGUAUGAUGUUUUUAAUCAUAACAUAAACUGACGUUAAAGGACGAAGGCUCUGGUAACGAAAAGGAUUAGAUACCCUUGUAGUCUGGGCAGAGAAUGAUGAGUGUCAUAAAUUAGAUAAAUCAUAUAUAUUUAGUUUAUAAAUGAAAGUGUAAGCACUCCACCUCAAGAGUAACAUGGCAACAUAGGAACUGAAAUCAUUAGACCGUUUCUGAAACCAGUAGUGAAGUAUGUUAUUUAAUUCGAUGAUCCGCGAAAAAUCUUACCACAAUUUGAAUAAUAAUAAUUUAUUAUUACAGGCGUUGCACGGCUGUCUUUAGUUAAUAUCGUGAGAGAUGGUUAGAUCCAGUAAUUAACGUAAACCCUUGUUCCAUUUAAUUAAAUGGAACAGCACCUCUACUACAACGGAGAUGAUAAGAGGGAU